This 406-nucleotide ribosomal RNA is filed under the name uncultured bacterium. Its description in RNAcentral is "partial 16S ribosomal RNA". It matches the Rfam family "Bacterial small subunit ribosomal RNA", at positions 30 to 527 of the family's 1533-position model. The record is from RNAcentral.
AUUGAACGCUGGCGGCAGGCCUAACACAUGCAAGUCGAGCGAGCGGCGGACGGGUGAGUAAUGUCUGGGAAACUGCCUGGUGGAGGGGGAUAACUACUGGAAACGGUAGCUAAUACCGCAUACCAUCAGAUGUGCCCAGAUGGGAUUAGCUAGUAGGUGGGGUAAUGGCUAACCUAGGCGGCGAUCCCUAGCUGGUCUGAGAGGAUGACCAGCCACACUGGAACUGAGACACGGUCAAGACUACGACGGGAGGCAGCAGUGGGGAAUAUUGCAAAAGGGGCGCAAGCCUGAUGCAGCCAUGCCGCGUGUGUGAAGAAGGCCUUCGGGUUGUAAAGCACUUUCAGCGAGGAGGCGUUACUCGCAGAAGAAGCACCGGCUAACUCCGUGCCAGCAGCCGCGGUAAUUG